UUCCUGGCAGAUUAAAACUGUGUGCCGGACAGAGACUCGAACUCGAGGUCCCGAGUUCGAGUCUCUGUCCGGCACACAGUUUUAAUCGGCCAGGAAGUUUCAUCUCUGUCACAUCUUCCAUCACGUGAUAGGAUACUAUUCAGAUGCUUAAACUCU
Molecule: small nucleolar RNA, 156 nt
Organism: Schistocerca serialis cubense
Lineage: Eukaryota; Metazoa; Arthropoda; Insecta; Orthoptera; Acrididae
Source: RefSeq, a predicted model, not a curated record